UGCAGUGUGGUGUAGUGGUCUGAGCACUGAACUACAACUCUGGAGAUCAGGGUUCAAAUCCCUGUUCAGCCA
Molecule: non-coding RNA, 72 nt
Organism: Phrynosoma platyrhinos (Desert horned lizard)
Lineage: Eukaryota; Metazoa; Chordata; Lepidosauria; Squamata; Phrynosomatidae
Source: the annotation of a GenBank genome assembly